UAUGGGAAUGGUGCACCUCCCACAAUUACACUAUCAAUGCAUUUCAUUGCAGGCAUUCUUACUGAUCUUUUUUUCGAAACUGAGAGACAAGACCUUUUUUUAUUGCGGAAAGAGGGAAUUGAUCAAUAAUUUUAAUGUUCUGUGCAGGCACUUCUAGCAUGUUGAUGAAAUCCUACUAUUCAAGACUUUUCUUGAAUUUUUCAUCCAAUUUGUUGCGGAGAAAUACCCAUUAUAUCUGUUGUUCUUGGGCGACCCUUUUCAGUAAAUGUGUAUAAAAUGCAAGCAAUCAUCCUGAAAAUAGCUUUCUAAGCUAGAAAUGUAUCUUUUAAUAAUUUGGAAGAUUUGUGUCUGGAAAUUGGUUGGAAAGUAUGAUCUGUAGCAUAAUUUACUCAGUUCUACCAGAUAUGACCUUUAGUUGAAAAUGAUCGUUUUAAGUUUAGAUGUGGCACUAAUAUGGUCUGUUGAUCACAGGUUUGGUGAGAUUGAUUUGCCCGUUGAUGACAUUGCUGCAGUUUUCCUCUUGGUGUAUUUUGGGGUUUCAACCUUGCUUGAUGUCACCUUAAGUGGCAGUCCAGAAGCAGAAGAUGAAUAAGAGGUAAAUAAUAGGUUAGUGGAGACCAUUUUCCUUGGCCAUAAUAUGCAGUAAACUUGAUCAAAAUAAGAUGAAAUACAUAAUAAAACGUUUGAAAUUUGAUUAAGCAGAAAAUACAACUUUAACAAUGUCUAUAUUUUCUGUUGUUUGGUUUUUCUUUUCUUAUGCUGCAACAUCUUCCCCUCUUGGAGUCAUUGGGGGAGCACUAGCUAGUCAUGGCGUUGCCACUUUGCUUGCAGUUUUGGGUGGUUCUAUUCUCGGAAUAUCUUUGUCAGAGAAAGGUCAUUGCAUACAUUGGAGGUGUUCUUAGUAACAUUGAUUGAGAUAGUAAGCUAGAAUUUAGGAAAGAAAAAAAGAAAAAAGUUCCCACAUUUUCUACUUGAUCAGGGGUUAAAAUCUGUAUGACUCAUAGAACAUAAAUUCCCUCCAUGUCCAUCAUGGAAGAACUGUUGUAGCAGUGAUAAUUAUAUUUUUCUUUAUUAGAGUAAACCAUUUUUUUUUUUAGAGGGGAGUUUCAAACUCCAUAUCUCCAUUUUGAAGGCUGUGGAUUAUGCUAACUAGGUCACAAACCUUUAGCCAGAGUAAACCAAUUUGAUAGUGGCUUCCUUCAUGUAUUGUUGAAGCAAAGUUCAAGAAUUUCAUGGCUUUGUUAGCUC
Molecule: long non-coding RNA, 1248 nt
Organism: Juglans microcarpa x Juglans regia
Lineage: Eukaryota; Viridiplantae; Streptophyta; Magnoliopsida; Fagales; Juglandaceae
Exons: 4
Source: RefSeq, a predicted model, not a curated record